CCUACGGGAGGCAGCAGUGAGGAAUAUUGGUCAAUGGACGCAAGUCUGAACCAGCCAUGCCGCGUGCAGGAAGACGGCUCUAUGAGUUGUAAACUGCUUUUGUACGAGGGUAAACGCAGAUACGCGUAUCUGUCUGAAAGUAUCGUACGAAUAAGGAUCGGCUAACUCCGUGCCAGCAGCCGCGGUAAUACGGAGGAUUCAAGCGUUAUCCGGAUUUAUUGGGUUUAAAGGGUGCGUAGGCGGUCGUGUAAGUUAGAGGUGAAAUCCCGAGGCUCAACUUCGGAAUUGCCUCUGAUACUGGUCGGCUAGAGAGUAGUUGCGGUAGGCGGAAUGUAUGGUGUAGCGGUGAAAUGCUUAGAGAUCAUACAGAACACCGAUUGCGAAGGCAGCUUACCAAGCUACUUCUGACGUUGAGGCACGAAAGCGUGGGGAGCGAACAGGAUUAGAUACCCCUGUAGUC
Molecule: ribosomal RNA, 460 nt
Filed under: uncultured bacterium
Lineage: Bacteria
Description: partial 16S ribosomal RNA
Rfam family: Bacterial small subunit ribosomal RNA
Source: RNAcentral